This 74-nucleotide transfer RNA is filed under the name Leiocephalus personatus (Haitian curlytail lizard). RNAcentral's name for it is "tRNA-Leu specifying UUR codons". It matches the Rfam family "tRNA". Rfam says of the family: Transfer RNA (tRNA) molecules are approximately 80 nucleotides in length. The record is from RNAcentral. Lineage: Eukaryota; Metazoa; Chordata; Lepidosauria; Squamata; Leiocephalidae.
GUUAGGGUGGCAGAGCCAAGUAAUGCAAAAGACCUAAGAUCUUUAUCACAGAAGUUCAAAUCUUCUCCUUAACC